GAAUUGCGAUAAGUAGUGUGAAUUGCAGAAUUCCGUGAAUCAUCGAAUCUUUGAACGCAUAUUGCACUCUUUGGUAUUCCGAAGAGUAUGCCUGUUUGAGGGUCAUUUGAAAAUUAAUCUAGACUUUUUUUUAGUCUUGGAAUAAUGAGUUUUCCGCGUUACAAUAUCAUAUGAUAUGGUAAUUGGUCACUCGAAAUUAAUGCCAUGUCUUGGCUUGUAACAGACGCGUUUAUUUUAAAUUUUAAAUGUUCGCAACUAAUCAAGUCUUGUGUAAUGGCAUGUUCAAUUUCCUCCUUUUAAAAGAGGAAGAAAUCGAACAACCAACUUUAUAUAAUCGUGACCUCAAAUCAGGUAAGAGUACCCGCUGAACUUAA
This 374-nucleotide unclassified non-coding RNA is filed under the name uncultured Glomeromycotina. RNAcentral's name for it is "sequence contains ITS1". The stretch from base 1 to 105 matches the Rfam family "5.8S ribosomal RNA", at positions 50 to 154 of the family's 154-position model. The record is from RNAcentral. Lineage: Eukaryota; Fungi; Glomeromycota.